This 660-nucleotide unclassified non-coding RNA is filed under the name Homo sapiens (human). Its description in RNAcentral is "SWI/SNF related BAF chromatin remodeling complex subunit B1 (ENSG00000275837.3)". The record is from RNAcentral. Lineage: Eukaryota; Metazoa; Chordata; Mammalia; Primates; Hominidae.
AGCCUCUGUGCCAUCACGUCUGCCACCAGUUCAGCACAGAGGGGAGUAGAGAGAUGGCACGCAAGCUUUGAUGUGCCUUUGCUGGCCUCGCCUGGAUCAUCUCAUUAGUUGGGAUAAUCUCAUGCGCCCACCCAGCUAUGAGUGGAAUGAGGGAAGUGUUUAUGGCCAUGACCACCCCCAGGGCAUGGAGCAGGAGGUCUGUGCAGGAUGAGGGCUGGGGGCCUGCUAGUCAUGUGCUUCCUCCUUCCACUCCCAGUUUCCAGGAAGGCCACCCCCAGUGCCCUGGUUGUCCUCUCCUGCAUCCGGAGAUGUUUGGCUUCAAAGAAGAAGGGGUGAGGGAGGCCGGUCCAUGCCCAAGCAUGGUGCAAUCUCUUGGCAUCCCUUCCCUCUCCUGAUUUCAGAGAAGUUGAUGACGCCUGAGAUGUUUUCAGAAAUCCUCUGUGACGAUCUGGAUUUGAACCCGCUGACGUUUGUGCCAGCCAUCGCCUCUGCCAUCAGACAGCAGAUCGAGUCCUACCCCACGGACAGCAUCCUGGAGGACCAGUCAGACCAGCGCGUCAUCAUCAAGCUGAACAUCCAUGUGGGAAACAUUUCCCUGGUGGACCAGUUUGAGUGGGACAUGUCAGAGAAGGAGAACUCACCAGAGAAGUUUGCCCUGAA